CGAAUGCUGACAUAAGUAACGAUAAAGCGGGUGAAAAGCCCGCUCGCCGGAAGACCAAGGGUUCCUGUCCAACGUUAAUCGGGGCAGGGUGAGUCGACCCCUAAGGCGAGGCCGAAAGGCGUAGUCGAUGGGAAACAGGUUAAUAUUCCUGUACUUGGUGUUACUGCGAAGGGGGGACGGAGAAGGCUAUGUUGGCCGGGCGACGGUUGUCCCGGUUUAAGCGUGUAGGCUGGUUUUCCAGGCAAAUCCGGAAAAUCAAGGCUGAGGCGUGAUGACGAGGCACUACGGUGCUGAAGCAACAAAUGCCCUGCUUCCAGGAAAAGCCUCUAAGCAUCAGGUAACAUCAAAUCGUACCCCAAACCGACACAGGUGGUCAGGUAGAGAAUACCAAGGCGCUUGAGAGAACUCGGGUGAAGGAACUAGGCAAAAUGGUGCCGUAACUUCGGGAGAAGGCACGCUGAUAUGUAGGUGAAGUCCCUCGCGGAUGGAGCUGAAAUCAGUCGAAGAUACCAGCUGGCUGCAACUGUUUAUUAAAAACACAGCACUGUGCAAACACGAAAGUGGACGUAUACGGUGUGACGCCUGCCCGGUGCCGGAAGGUUAAUUGAUGGGGUCAGCGCAAGCGAAGCUCUUGAUCGAAGCCCCGGUAAACGGCGGCCGUAACUAUAACGGUCCUAAGGUAGCGAAAUUCCUUGUCGGGUAAGUUCCGACCUGCACGAAUGGCGUAAUGAUGGCCAGGCUGUCUCCACCCGAGACUCAGUGAAAUUGAACUCGCUGUGAAGAUGCAGUGUACCCGCGGCAAGACGGAAAGACCCCGUGAACCUUUACUAUAGCUUGACACUGAACAUUGAGCCUUGAUGUGUAGGAUAGGUGGGAGGCUUUGAAGUGUGGACGCCAGUCUGCAUGGAGCCGACCUUGAAAUACCACCCUUUAAUGUUUGAUGUUCUAACGUGGACCCGUGAUCCGGGUUGCGGACAGUGUCUGGUGGGUAGUUUGACUGGGGCGGUCUCCUCCUAAAGAGUAACGGAGGAGCACGAAGGUUGGCUAAUCCUGGUCGGACAUCAGGAGGUUAGUGCAAUGGCAUAAGCCAGCUUGACUGCGAGCGUGACGGCGCGAGCAGGUGCGAAAGCAGGUCAUAGUGAUCCGGUGGUUCUGAAUGGAAGGGCCAUCGCUCAACGGAUAAAAGGUACUCCGGGGAUAACAGGCUGAUACCGCCCAAGAGUUCAUAUCGACGGCGGUGUUUGGCACCUCGAUGUCGGCUCAUCACAUCCUGGGGCUGAAGUAGGUCCCAAGGGUAUGGCUGUUCGCCAUUUAAAGUGGUACGCGAGCUGGGUUUAGAACGUCGUGAGACAGUUCGGUCCCUAUCUGCCGUGGGCGCUGGAGAACUGAGGGGGGCUGCUCCUAG
RNAcentral lists this ribosomal RNA (1405 nucleotides) under Escherichia coli. RNAcentral's name for it is "partial 23S ribosomal RNA". It matches the Rfam family "Bacterial large subunit ribosomal RNA", at positions 1291 to 2681 of the family's 2925-position model. The record is from RNAcentral. Lineage: Bacteria; Pseudomonadati; Pseudomonadota; Gammaproteobacteria; Enterobacterales; Enterobacteriaceae.